CAGUAGCCGCGGUAAUACGGAGGGAGCUAGCGUUGUUCGGAAUUACUGGGCGUAAAGCGCGCGUAGGCGGUUACUCAAGUCAGAGGUGAAAGCCCGGGGCUCAACCCCGGAACUGCCUUUGAAACUAGGUGACUAGAAUCUUGGAGAGGUCAGUGGAAUUCCGAGUGUAGAGGUGAAAUUCGUAGAUAUUCGGAAGAACACCAGUGGCGAAGGCGACUGACUGGACAAGUAUUGACGCUGAGGUGCGAAAGCGUGGGGAGCAAACAGGAUUAGAUACCCCGGUAGUCCCUGUCUCUUAUAC
This 301-nucleotide ribosomal RNA is filed under the name uncultured bacterium. RNAcentral's name for it is "partial 16S ribosomal RNA". It matches the Rfam family "Bacterial small subunit ribosomal RNA", at positions 509 to 807 of the family's 1533-position model. The record is from RNAcentral.